This 510-nucleotide ribosomal RNA is filed under the name uncultured bacterium. RNAcentral's name for it is "partial 16S ribosomal RNA". It matches the Rfam family "Bacterial small subunit ribosomal RNA", at positions 28 to 507 of the family's 1533-position model. The record is from RNAcentral.
GACGAACGCUGGCGGCGUGCUUAACACAUGCAAGUCGAACGAAGAGCGACGGAAGCUUGCUUCUAUCAAUCUUAGUGGCGAACGGGUGAGUAACGCGUAAUCAACCUGCCCUUCAGAGGGGGACAACAGUUGGAAACGACUGCUAAUACCGCAUACGAUCUAACCUCGGCAUCGAGGAUAGAUGAAAGGUGGCCUCUACAUGUAAGCUAUCACUGAAGGAGGGGAUUGCGUCUGAUUAGCUAGUUGGAGGGGUAACGGCCCACCAAGGCGAUGAUCAGUAGCCGGUCUGAGAGGAUGAACGGCCACAUUGGGACUGAGACACGGCCCAGACUCCUACGGGAGGCAGCAGUGGGGAAGCUUCCGCAAUGGACGAAAGUCUGACGGAGCAACGCCGCGUGAGUGAUGACGGCCUUCGGGUUGUAAAGCUCUGUUAAUCGGGACGAAAGGCCUUCUUGCGAAUAGUGAGAAGGAUUGACGGUACCGGAAUAGAAAGCCACGGCUAACUACGUG